RNAcentral lists this ribosomal RNA (427 nucleotides) under uncultured bacterium. RNAcentral's name for it is "partial 16S ribosomal RNA". It matches the Rfam family "Bacterial small subunit ribosomal RNA", at positions 355 to 774 of the family's 1533-position model. The record is from RNAcentral.
UGGGGAAUAUUGCACAAUGGGCGCAAGCCUGAUGCAGCCAUGCCGCGUGUAUGAAGAAGGCCUUCGGGUUGUAAAGUACUUUCAGCGGGGAGGAAGGUGUUGUGGUUAAUAACCACAGCAAUUGACGUUACCCGCAGAAGAAGCACCGGCUAACUCCGUGCCAGCAGCCGCGGGAAUACGGAGGGUGCAAGCGUUAAUCGGAAUUCAUGGGCGUAAAGCGCACGCAGGCGGUCUGUCAAGUCGGAUGUGAAAUCCCCGGGCUCAACCUGGGAACUGCAUCCGAAACUGGCAGGCUUGAGUCUUGUAGAGGGGGGUAGAAUUCCAGGUGUAGCGGUGAAAUGCGUAGAGAUCUGGAGGAAUACCGGUGGCGAAGGCGGCCCCCUGGACAAAGACUGACGCUCAGGUGCGAAAGCGUGGGGAGCAAACA